CAGUUACAUUUUUUUUAUUCCAUAAACAACAUUUUUCAUGGCAGCUGGUCUGCAGUUUGCUUCUUGCUUUGACAGAAUGUCAAGUGCCUGUAGAAAUUGUCUUAAGAAUGGUUUAAGAGAACAAAAGCUUUUUCACACCUCCAAAAAUGUUUCAUUACCUACAUUUCCCAAUUACCUUCUUAAGAAAAAUAAUAGGUUUUGUUUAUUUUACAUUGUAAUGUUUUGCUUCAAGGUAUAA
RNAcentral lists this long non-coding RNA (238 nucleotides) under Mus musculus (house mouse). Its description in RNAcentral is "long non-coding RNA chr10:18011267-18011505". Lineage: Eukaryota; Metazoa; Chordata; Mammalia; Rodentia; Muridae. The record is from RNAcentral.